AGAGGAGAGGAGAGGAGGUGGAGCAGCCAUCGCCUGGACGUGAGCGGUGAAUGGGCAGCGCGGGCGUCGAGCAGGAUCAUGGGGGAGCAGGGGAGGCCAGAGGCUGCUCACCAUAUACAUCGCCAUCCAUAGCCGCCCUCGUCCGCCAAGAAGUUGAGGAGGGAGGCUGACCUCCAGUGACCACUCUGCACCGCUCUGGACGACACCCUCCCCCACCAGAGAGAAAGUGCAAAAGCUAUGGGCAAUCCUAUAUGACUGGCGCCAUCAGUAAGGAUUUAUUUAAAGCUAGCUUACUUUUGGGUCUAAGCCAAGUUUAUUUCUUUCGCAGAUUUAUUCACCUUAUUGGGACGGUGGGGUUAAUAUAUAUACAUCAACUUUGAGCAUCAGCAACGCAUGAAGCUUGCUUCUGAGGCUGCAACAUACUUUGCAAUCCCCCUGUGAAACAUACUUUUGUCACUAUGCACAUAUGGUUAUUCGAACGAAUUGAUUUCGAUUAGACUAUCUUUUUCCUAAUUACUUGUUAUAUGAUGUUCUUUACUAUUCAGAGGUUGUUGAAGGGA
Triticum aestivum (bread wheat) is the source of this 560-nucleotide long non-coding RNA. RefSeq lists it as uncharacterized. The transcript is spliced from 3 exons. The record is from RefSeq and is a predicted model, not a curated record. NCBI's taxonomy places the organism in Eukaryota, Viridiplantae, Streptophyta, Magnoliopsida, Poales, Poaceae.